Molecule: ribosomal RNA, 524 nt
Filed under: uncultured bacterium
Lineage: Bacteria
Description: bacterial SSU rRNA
Rfam family: Bacterial small subunit ribosomal RNA
Source: RNAcentral
GGCUAACGCUGGCGGCGUGUCUUAGCCAUGCAAGUCGAGCGGACUUAUGGGGUAACUUAUAAGUCAGCGGCGGACGGCGGAGUAACACGUAGCUAACCUACCCUCUGGACGGGGAUAACCUACCGAAAGGUGGGCUAAUACCCGAUGUAGUCAUCCUGUAUAGGGGUGAUGAAAGGUGGGCUUCUGUUUACAAGCUCAUGCUGGAGGAGGGGGCUGCGGCCUAUCAGGUAGUUGGUAGGGUAAUAGCCUACCAAGCCGAUGACGGGUAGCCGGCCUGAGAGGGUGACCGGCCCGAGGGGCACUGAGAUACGGGUCCCACUCCUACGGGAGGCAGCAGGCUAGAAAUUUGGGCAAUGGGGGAAACCCUGACCCAGUGACGCCGCGUGCAGGAAGGAGCCCUUCGGGGUGUAAACUGCUGUCGUGUAGGGAGAAGGGUACUAAGGUGAACAAUCUUAGUACUUGACGGUACUACAGGAGGAAGCCCAGGCUAACCUCGUGCCAGCAGCCUCGGUAAAUAGCGUACU